GAUGAAGAACGCAGCGAAAUGCGAUAAGUAAUGUGAAUUGCAGAAUUCAGUGAAUCAUCGAAUCUUUGAACGCACCUUGCGCUCCUUGGUAUUCCGAGGAGCAUGCCUGUUUGAGUGUCAUUAAUAUAUCAACCUUCUCUUUUUUGAGUUGUUUGGAUGUGGGGGUUUGCUGGCCUCUUAAAUGAUUCAGCUCCCCUGAAAUGCAUUAGCAGAACAACCUGUUCAUUAGCGUGGUAAUUAUCUAUGCUAUUGAAUGUGAGGGCAGUUCAGCUUUCUAACCGUCCUUGGACAAUUCAUCAUUAAUGUGACCUCAAAUCAGGUAGGACUACCCGCUGAACUUAAGCAUAUCAAUAAGCGGAGGA
RNAcentral lists this unclassified non-coding RNA (362 nucleotides) under soil metagenome. RNAcentral describes it as "partial contains 5.8S ribosomal RNA, internal transcribed spacer 2, and large subunit ribosomal RNA". The stretch from base 1 to 120 matches the Rfam family "5.8S ribosomal RNA", at positions 35 to 154 of the family's 154-position model. The record is from RNAcentral.